CUGAAGGUUAAAGAAUGACAGUGCUUAGCAGUCUGCUCUGAAAAAUACUGUAAUCUUUGAUCCAGCAUUCAGCAUUCAGCUAUAGUGUUGAAGCCAAUGUGAGGACCCCUGUAUAUGCUGAGCUCUACGGAAAAUUAAGCAAAAUAGAGAGGUACAGCAUUUAGAAAUGCUAGCAGUGGGGUAAAGAAAAGAUCAUGGGAUUUGGGAUUGCACAGAGUCCAGUGGUGCACUGAUUUUGCUGAUUAAACUGAUAAAUAAUGAACUCAAAAUGUUUUAGGCAGCUGUUAGUGUCAGAGAUCAGAUUAAUCUUCAGCAUGAAAGAGAGAAGAUAUUCAAGUUUACAGCACUCCGGAGCAGGAUUUGAAUAAAAUAGACGAAAGGCUUUUGACUUCAAUGAAUUAUAGAAGUGGACAGAGACAUUUUUUAUGUGUGACCCACUGCUGAUGGAAGUUAAAGUGAUAUCCCUGUAGAAGACAUGAAAAACUCUUCUCUAUGGCUCCUGGAUGCUUACAUAACGUUCAAUUAUGCAUAAUAUCAACACUCGUGUUUCAAGACUUUUGGGAAGACUAAUAACAAGGAAAAGAGGGGGAAGAGGGCAGGGAGGGAAGAAAGAAGAGAUUUCCCAUAGAAAUAAAUUGAUUGCAUUGUACUGAGCAUUGGAGGUGGAUCCUACACAUGAUCCUUUUCCCAGCUCCUCUGAUGGCUCCAUGUGCAUUUUUCAGAUUGCCAUUUGACUUUUUUUUGUCUUUUAUUAUCCUGACUGUAAAAGAGUAAAGGAAUUACUUGUUCAUACAAGCCGGAUGAUAGUUAUCUAAGUUUUAGUCACAUGAACAGAAUUACACUAUUUUAUUAUCAGUUGAUUGAGCUUUCAAAGCUGAGUAGUAGUUUCAGUGGUGUUAUUCAAAGUAUUUUAUAAUAACAGUCUAUAAUAAUCUAUUAGACAAGUAUUAGUCACAUGUAAGCACUAUUUCGGAAUUUUCAUUUACUUUGUACCUUAUUAAGAAUGAAUCAAUAUCUUUUUGGGGCUGCUUUGUCUGUUCACCUGUUGAGUAAAAUCAAAUAUCACUUGUGUAAAUAAGACUUCAAAGCAGAUUUUCAGGUAAAAGAAACUGCUUUUAGGAAUCAUGAGCAAUUUAACCAAGAACUCUGAAGCAUGAGAAUAUUACAAGAAGAUACCGAAAACAGAAAUAUAAGUGCAAUUCACAUAUACUGUAAUUAUGGAGCUUUUUUGCUGUGUUUGUUUUGAAUCAUGUGGAUGAGAGAUGAAUAGGAAUUUUGCCACUUUCUAUCUGUUUAAAUCUUGCCCAAAUCAGUGCCUGGGAUCUUGAAGCUCACUUGCUUGUAGAAAAUUAGAACAAUUAUUCAGAAAAUUAAAGUUGAACUUUGAAUGAGGAAAACUUCAACACAGAGAUGAAGUAUGACAUUAUUAAGCUUACUAGUGAAAUUCAUUGAAAUACUCUUCAACAGAUUUGGGGAUUUUUUGUUUGUUUUUGUUUUUUGUUUUUACUUCUUUACAUUAUAUAAAAAUAAAUUUGUUUAACACUCAGCCUUUUCUAAUUCCAGUCUUUUAAUGUUAGUCAGGUUAGGAGGAUAACGUAUAAUAUUCUGUACUUCUACUGUCCAUAUUGUACUUUAAGAAGCUUAACAUUUGUUUCCUAUAAGCACCUUUUCCAUGUUAAUUUUCAGUUUCAAAUUCACUAAUGAAAAUGCACAAAUUUAUAUAAUUUCUGACUCAGAAAUGUCUAUAUUCUCCUUUAUACUCACUAACGUUAAUAACUAUGAGACAUGCAUGCAUGAGAAAAAGAAAAAAAAGAAGGCUGGAAGGCACUUUUUCUAUUAGAUAUCACUGUGACACAUGAAACAGAUGAAAAGUUGAAUUGAUUAGAGGAUACAUAAAUGUUUUUAAAUAUGAUUUUGUAAAUAAAGUAGUAUUUUAAUUUUGUAAAAAUUAUCAUUGAACUCCUAUUGAACUUUUAUCUGAAUAGUUCUAUACCUCUUUGAAAAUCUCUUUGAAACUUUGUGUGGUGCAUCUCAGAUCUAAAAUUCUACCUUCCUUUCAUGACUAUCUGUACAUCAAAGGGAAGGAGAAAUGGUAUCAUCAUUUUAUUCUGCUACUAUGAAGGACAAAAAUUUGUCUGAUGGUAGAACAGUAGGAAGAAAAGUGACAGUGACACCUCAGGUUGAAAAAGGGAAAGCUACAAGAAAGUGUAUUCAUGGUUUCAGCUUUGACUCCACUGUGACAUAAUUGCCAUGAAUAUCUUUCAUAACAUACACUAGAGAAAAGGUAUUAAAGCGGUAUACAAAGACCUGUGUAGAAAUGGAAUUUGCAGAUUCUCUUAACUUCAUCAAACAAAAUCAAUUUCCAUGGGACAUUUCAAAGGCACUUCUCAAUGAAGGUCAACUUUCUGCUUUCUUUUCUGUUUUGGCACAUAAUUCAUUUAAAACCUGGAAUGAGAAGAAAGCAAAACUCAAUAGCAUGUACUUACAGGAUUUCAUCUUCUAUAACUAUAAGUAAUUUUAAGCAAGAAAUACAGAAGCUGAGAUCAUUGUUAGAAAACACUAAAAAUAAAGAAAUUAAUAAAGUAAAAGAAAAAAUAGAAAGGCUUUGGAAUUCUGUGUCUGUCAGAUGAGUUCUAUGAAUGGAACUUGAAAAAUACAUAGAGUAUUUAUAUGAUGUAGUGAUAUUCAGUAUAUUUUUACUCUUUUUUUUUUUUUUUUUAAAUAUGAUGUCUACCUUUCCUGACCCAAAAGGUGGUGGGAUUUAAAAUUUUGGUAAAAUUACUGAAGUUCUAAUAAAAAAUUACUCAACUCUGCUCAUGUUUAAUUUCAGACUUGCAAUAUCUUUGCUGUUUACACAAUUUUUACUCUUGCCAACAUGAAGUCAAUACGAUCUUGUUAAAGUGGCGUGUCAAUGGUUUGUGGGCUGGUUUGGCCUGGUUCCAUGACUAGCGGGGUGGAGGGACCUGCGGAUCCACGCCCCGGAAAGGACUUAGGUAAAAAAGGGAAAAAAGGGUAGAGAGAUGGGCCUAAAAAAAAAAAAAAAAAGCAAAACAGUGGCAAUGAUGAGAAACUGAUGAGAAACAAACUAUUUUACUAAGUCAGAUAUCAGAAUGCAAGAUAACACUCUAUAAUACAAUAUAAUUAGAAUUGGAACUAAUAAAUCAAAUAUAAUGAGAGAGAGUGUCCAAAAGCCGAAGACCUUACUACAUUGCUGUGACAAGAUGGCACCCGCGACAGAGAUGGUUGGGAAAAAAAAGGAUGUCAGGUGACCUACCAAGGCCUUUUAUCUGUUCCCCCUGAGCAGAAAUGAUAACAUAACAGUGAACACUCCUCCGAGGAAUGUAGUAGUUCUUCUCUUCCGGGACAGGUACCUGGACCUGGAGCAUUAACUCUUUAAUUCCCGGUGCACUACAUGAUGCUAUAAUGUGGAAUACUGAUAACCAAAAAUCUUAAAACCAUGACAUGGCAAUAAGCUGAAAAAUAAUACCAACUGUAUUAAUGGAAACACUACAACUUAUUUUUCUUUUCAAGGCUUGUUUUCAAAAUUUUAGAAUUCUUUACAUGGAUUUGUAUUUGCUUGUGUUGGACAUGGUGUGAUGGGACUUCAGCAUUUAUCACCAGCUACUGAUAAGCAUGUUCUGAAUUUUGGCAAAUUCCUCUAAACCUAGAUACUUUGGCAUUUUGCAUCAAUUGUAUUCUUCAUUUUGAAAGGUAUCUGUGAUAGUCAUGCAACUGUUACUCAGUUUGCUUACCCCACACGGAUUGUAUAGCUAAUAUUCAAACAACUUCUUAACUUGCAUUUGACUUGCAUGGUAUGUAAGAGCAUCUUUUUUGAGCAGAUUGGCUUGUAUUUGUAGGUAGCACUUUGACACAAUAUUUUUGAAU
Long non-coding RNA from Gallus gallus (chicken), 3885 nucleotides. The record is from Ensembl. NCBI's taxonomy places the organism in Eukaryota, Metazoa, Chordata, Aves, Galliformes, Phasianidae.